Molecule: ribosomal RNA, 477 nt
Filed under: uncultured Hydrogenophaga sp.
Lineage: Bacteria; Pseudomonadati; Pseudomonadota; Betaproteobacteria; Burkholderiales; Comamonadaceae
Description: bacterial SSU rRNA
Rfam family: Bacterial small subunit ribosomal RNA
Source: RNAcentral
GGCGAACGGGUGAGUAAUGCAUCGGAACGUGCCCAGUCGUGGGGGAUAACGCAGCGAAAGCUGUGCUAAUACCGCAUACGAUCUAUGGAUGAAAGCGGGGGACCUUCGGGCCUCGCGCGAUUGGAGCGGCCGAUGUUAGAUUAGGUAGUUGGUGGGGUAAAGGCUCACCAAGCCAACGAUCUAUAGCUGGUCUGAGAGGACGACCAGCCACACUGGAACUGAGACACGGUCCAGACUCCUACGGGAGGCAGCAGUGGGGAAUUUUGGACAAUGGGCGAAAGCCUGAUCCAGCAAUACCGCGUGCAGGAAGAAGGCCCUCGGGUUGUAAACUGCUUUUGUACGGAACGAAACGGCGCGCUCUAAUAAAGUGCGCUAAUGACGGUACCGUAAGAAUAAGCACCGGCUAACUACGUGCCAGCAGCCGCGGUAAUACGUAGGGUGCGAGCGUUAAUCGGAAUUACUGGGCGUAAAGCGUGC